This is a long non-coding RNA of Thalassophryne amazonica, 397 nucleotides long. RefSeq lists it as uncharacterized. The transcript is spliced from 4 exons. The record is from RefSeq and is a predicted model, not a curated record. NCBI's taxonomy places the organism in Eukaryota, Metazoa, Chordata, Actinopteri, Batrachoidiformes, Batrachoididae.
AUGAAGAGGAAUAAAAAAAAAAAGCAAAAACUACCAUUAAGCCUCAUGUUGUGUUGCUUCCCAGUUAUGGAGCAGCUCUCUUCAGCCUCCAAAAAUAUUGUGAAAGGGCUACAGUGGAAAUCUACAGAUGUGGAAUAAUGGUAAAAUAUAAAUCACAUGUACCAUUUGUUACCGAUACUACCUUUAAAAAAAUACCAGGCCACGUUGGCAGCAGCUUGUCCAGCCUCUUCAACUUCAACAGCAGAAUCCACUUUAGCAUAAAGAAAAAUAAGCGACGCUAAAUGAAAAUAUUCUUUUGUACAGUGGUGCUGGUUCACAAAGAGAUUCUUACCAAAAAAUAAUUGUAUGAUUGCUUCUAUUCCCACCAAUGACCAAGUUGCCACUUCAUAAGCCAAUU